GUAGUGACCCUGCCUAUGAAGCCGAUGCAUGGCCCCAGGUUCAAAUCCUGGUAAGGGCAUUUAUUCGUGUGAUGAGCACAGAUAUUUGUUCCUGAGUCAUGGGUGUUUUCUGUGUAUUAAAGUAUUUGUAUAUUAUAUAUAUCGUUGUCUGAGGACCCACAAUACAAGCCUUCUUGAGCUUACUGUGGGACUUAGUCAAUUUGUGUAACAAUGUCC
This is a long non-coding RNA of Cydia splendana, 216 nucleotides long. RefSeq lists it as uncharacterized. The record is from RefSeq and is a predicted model, not a curated record. Lineage: Eukaryota; Metazoa; Arthropoda; Insecta; Lepidoptera; Tortricidae. The transcript is spliced from 2 exons.